UACGAAGGGUGCUAGCGUUGUUCGGAAUCAUUGGGCGUAAAGCGUGCGUAGGCGGCUUAACAAGUCAGCUGUGAAAGCCCAGGGCUUAACCCUGGAAUUGCAGUUGAAACUGUUUUGCUAGAGUAUGGAGCGGGAUAGUGGAAUUCCCGGUGUAGCAGUGAAAUGCGUAGAGAUCGGGAGGAACACCAGUGGCGAAGGCGGCUACCUGGACCAGCACUGACACUGAGGCACGAAAGCGUGGGGAGCAAACAGG
This 253-nucleotide ribosomal RNA is filed under the name uncultured bacterium. RNAcentral describes it as "partial 16S ribosomal RNA". It matches the Rfam family "Bacterial small subunit ribosomal RNA", at positions 524 to 776 of the family's 1533-position model. The record is from RNAcentral.